GACGAACGCUGGCGGCGUGCUUAACACAUGCAAGUCGAACGGAAAGGCCCUGCUUUUGUGGGUUGCUCGAGUGGCGAACGGGUUAGUAACACGUGAGUAACCUGCCCUUGACUUUGGGAUAACUUCAGGAAACUGGGGCUAAUACCGGAUAGGAGCUCCUGCUGCAUGGUGGGGGUUGGAAAGUUUCGGCGGUUGGGGAUGGACUCGCGGCUUAUCAGCUUGUUGGUGGGGUAGUGGCUUACCAAGGCUUUGACGGGUAGGCGGACUGAGAGGGGGACCGGCAACAUCGGGAAGGAGAUACAGCCGAGACUACGACGGGAGGCAGCAGUUGGGAAUAGUGGACAACGGGCGGAAGACUGAUGUAGCAACGCCGCGUGAGGGAUGACGGGUGUUGGGAGAAAAACCGCUUUCGCAUGUGACGAGGAGUGAGUGACGGUAAUGGGUAAAGAAGCACCGGCUAAAUACGUG
Molecule: ribosomal RNA, 468 nt
Filed under: uncultured bacterium
Lineage: Bacteria
Description: partial 16S ribosomal RNA
Rfam family: Bacterial small subunit ribosomal RNA
Source: RNAcentral